Long non-coding RNA from Ceratina calcarata, 2352 nucleotides. RefSeq lists it as uncharacterized. The record is from RefSeq and is a predicted model, not a curated record. The transcript has 2 exons. NCBI's taxonomy places the organism in Eukaryota, Metazoa, Arthropoda, Insecta, Hymenoptera, Apidae.
AAACAUUAAUAUUAAUCCUAAUAUCAUUGACAAUAAAUUUCAAAGCACUAAGUACUCGUUCUACCCGGACUUGUAUAGCAGGAACAUGAUGAAGUGCUAUUCUUUCAGACACUUGUGAACUACUAUAACUCACAAUCACAAACCACCGCUUUGAUGCGUCAGUUGUAGACACCCAUAACAAGGCGUGUAAAGAAAUCUCAACAUAUUUUAGUACCCUUCUCUCCACAAUGGUAGCGCUGGUAAUCACUUCAAUUUCCAAGUCUCUCUUAGCUAUCCAUAUAAAUUGUUGCUCGGGACUGAUGAAAGAAUAUUACUUUACUAGAGCAAGAAGAAACAUUAAAAAAUAGCGACUAGGGAAAAUCACUAGGGAAGAGUAUCUAGUUUGAACUUUUUUAUCUUGGGAUGUCAAGGAAUUUGAAAGAUGUAUAUUAAUUUUAGAUGGGAUGGAAUUGGGGUUUGACAUGGACCUGAAAGACGUAGCAUGAAGUAGGGUUUUAGACAAGGGAGGACGUACAGUAAGACCAUGAACCUGAAGGACGGUGUACGAAGUCCAUGGACUCAGCAUCGACGGCUGGUUAAGGUUAUAUUUCUUAUUUCGACCACAAUAUAUUCUAGAGGGCGUAAAAAAUUGCCAAAUUUUUCGAUAAUUCUUUUGCGAACCCUGGGUUAUAAUCAUAAACGUAUACUUAAGGAUAGACCGCGAGACCGGGCCGAAAAAGAGAGUAGAAAGAGAUAGCUGGCACUGAUGGCUCUCUAUCCUUGUUUAAUCGCGCAUGCACUGUAUAGCUGGUACUUGGUGGUGGUGGUACAUACAUGACCGUUCCAACGAGGGAUGCCAGAAUGUAGGAUUUCUCCUCUUCCCGAGCUGUCUCCUACUUCUUUCUUUUGCCCCCACGUACGUUACCCAUGAUCAUUGGGGACAUGUCUAAUAAUGCCAUAUGUAAGUGGGGAAAGCAUAUUGAGCAUACAGCAGCAUACAGUAGUGGGGAGAGCUCGGGAAGAGGAGAAAUCCUACAUUCUGGCAUCCCUGGUUCCAACUAUACAGGGUGAUUCUCUCGCUAGGGUAGACAAAGGCUGUGCCGCCGUGUAAACAUUGUAACCAAAACCCAUAGUACUGUAGCCGCUGUGCCAUUGGGAGGUGGAGGACGGAUGGCUACUGUAACGAGGACGAUUGUGUGCGUACAUGUGUGAGCUACAGUACUAUAGGUUUUGGUUACAAACGGCGGCACGCCUUUGUCUACCCUAACGAGAGAAUCACCCUGUAUUUGAGUUCACGAGAGAACAGACCAUGGACCUGAAGGACGGAAUAUAAACUGCUUUUAUAGAUGAAGGGGGGUGAAGCUCCGUCCGUGGCGGGGGAACAGUCAAAUCGGCCAUCUUGUAGGAGCGACAAGUGGCGUCGCCUGUCUGUAAAACUUAUACAAAUCUUGCGCGCGCUAAAGCAAGCGUGUGUCACGGCUAUGUACAUACAUACAUGAGCGUACUUGUGGAAAUUUGCUCCUAGACGCCAAUGACGCUAAUAUGGCCGUUACCAUGAAGAUACGCGACGCGGGCGCGGACGCUACAUGAAGAGAGCGCCACCAGUCGCUCCUAAAAAAUGGCUGACAUUUCGGAUCCCCCCUUCCGUUUUCCGUCACAGUUUAUCGCAGGCAAUGCUCCGUCCUUCAGGUCCAUGGAACCAGGGAUGCCGUAUUGAGCGAUUUUUCUCGCGCCUCCUCUUCGCCUGGAGACCCCUACUACCGUAUUUUGUCCACGCUUAUGUUACUCUUGGACAUGCGCCUGAUGCGCCUACCGGCUUCCUACGUGACUUGAACCUUUUUUAUGCACAAGACGCAUGACAAAUACGUCACGUGGAAAGCCGGUAGGCGCACCAGGCGCAUGUUCAAGAGUAAUGUAAGCGUGGACAAAAUACGGUAGUGGGGGUAGAAAAAUCGCUCAAUACGGCAUCCCUGCAUGGAACAGACCCGUUUCGUGCAGCUUGUAGGUAAUGGGGGUAACCGAAUACGUAAGUCCUAGUAGGGGCGACGAUAUGGACAGCAUUAAAGAGAAAGAGAGAGCUGCGCACAAUGAUCGAAAAUUGGUCAAAAGAAGCAUUCAUGAUGAUGAGCAUUUUCUUGAAUAAGAAGUAUUUAUGGACCAUGGUCAUCAAUUAAUUUUAAUGAUUCUAUUAACAUAUAUGGAUAUUCGUUUGAAACACGAAGGCAAAAUUUUGCAAGAUGAAAACCAAAGAAUCAGGAUGCAGAAUAAUAAGUUAACAAUAUUUAAAGGACAAUAACUUUGUCAAAUACUUUCGAAUUAUUUAUAAUAUGUUUGUUACAUAAUAAAAAUGACGAACAGCAUUUUAUGAUUUAC